AGUGAACGCUGGCGGUAGGCCUAACACAUGCAAGUCGAACGGCAGCACAGUAAGAGCUUGCUCUUACGGGUGGCGAGUGGCGGACGGGGGAGGAAUACAGCGGAAUCUACUUUUUCGUGGGGGAUAACGUAGGGAAACUUACGCUAAUACCGCAUACGACCUACGGGUGAAAGCAGGAGAUCUUCGGACCUUGCGCGAAUGAAUGAGCCGAUGACGGAUUAGCUAGUGUGCGGGGUAAAGGCCCACCAAGUCGACGAUCCGUAGCUGGGCUGAGAGGAUGAUCAGCCCCACUGGAACUGUACCACGGUCCAGACUCCUACGGGAGGCAGCAGUGGGGAAUAUUAGACAAUGGGCGGAAGCCUGAUCCAGCCCUGCCGCGUGGGUGGAGAGGGCCUUCGGGUUUUAAAUCCCUUUUGUUGGGAAAGAAAAGCAGCAGGUUAAAACCCCGCUGUUCUGACGGUACCCAAAGAAUAAGCACCGGCUAACUUCGUG
This 492-nucleotide ribosomal RNA is filed under the name uncultured bacterium. RNAcentral's name for it is "partial 16S ribosomal RNA". It matches the Rfam family "Bacterial small subunit ribosomal RNA", at positions 29 to 507 of the family's 1533-position model. The record is from RNAcentral.